Molecule: long non-coding RNA, 1462 nt
Filed under: Sus scrofa (pig)
Lineage: Eukaryota; Metazoa; Chordata; Mammalia; Artiodactyla; Suidae
Description: lncRNA (ENSSSCG00070013317.1)
Source: RNAcentral
AUGGGUAUAGUGGAAACAUUUCACUGCCUGCUAGCCCACUGCCACCACCGCUGGCUUCUCAGUUUUAGUCUUCGAGGCUCACCUGAACUUGGCACGCUCUGUGUUAGAUUACUCAACCUGUCUGCCCCACAGAAACUCACCUCCCUAACUGCUGCGUGCUGCUUUCUCUUUUCGAGAGUUGGACUACACCCAAAGCCACUGUCAAAUGUCAUGGGGAUGAGACUUCACGAGGGAAUGCAAAGAAAUUCCAAGUGGCGGAUAAAGGCAAGCCUUGAGUACAUUGCCUGGAACCUCUACCAGAUCAUCAAGGCUGAAAUCUGAAGGAGAAUAAUUACCUGGGGGCAAUCAGCCACCAUGAGUCAAAGCCUGAAACUAAGGGUGAGGGCAGGGUGGAGAAAGAUUUAACUAAAGUUGUUGUAAGUAUAUCUAGCUGAAGCAAGGGGAGCUGGAUCUUAUGCUAGCAAUCAUUUUAUUUCCAUUUCAGCCAACUUUUAGCCUCUGUCUCCCUUUUCUACAUCCUGCUCAACCAUCACCCUGCACACUUUUUCCUAAAUAAUCAACAUUUACAACCUGUCAACUGAAAAAACAAAACAAAACAAAAAAACAACCCAUAAUGUGAGAAUUAUGAGUUAAGUUUUACCUGGGAAAAAAUGAGGAUAUUAGCCAAGAAGACAGCCUCUCAGAUAGCUCUGAGCAACUGCUCCAAAGAAGUAGGUUGGGAGGUCAGUAUAUAUGUGAUUCUGGUGAAGGGGGGUAGUGCAGUCAAGCACACAUUUUGGUAGAAGAUUUCGGCUAGUCUUGUGACAGUUACUGCUGGUCACAAGGAACCAGCAGAUGUCUUUGUUAAUGAUUUUAGUGCUUUUCUAGAUAUGAGAAGAUGCAAAAAAAAUGGGCUUGUAGAAUCUUCUUCUGAAAAUACCUAUCUGAAAGCCUCUUCUACCAGUUUUCCCCAGAGCAUAGAGUGCCUCAUUCCUGAUCUCUACCCUGAACUCCUUCCAGCAUGUGUUGAAGGUCAGUGACUACAGCGACUAGGGACUUAAUCCUUGUAGAGGAAGAUGGCAAGUGAAAAUUUUUCGUUGGCACUAGUUUACUACUGUUUUAAAGGUACAUCAAUGGUAAAAACUUAGGAAGAACGUUAAAAAUCAUCAUGGUAAAAUAAGAAACUGGACCAAUACAUAAACCAUUUUGGCCAUUUUUAAAUUAAUUCAAAAAUUAUUUUUCUGAGAAAAGGAAAGUAUAUUUAAACUCUGAAAUUGGGAAAAAGUAAUUCUGAGUAUUUUUCCAAGCUUUAGGUUUUCUUUGAGUGAUUUUUCCCCUCAUCACCAUAUUGACAAAAACAGACUCUUUCCUUUUUUCAAAAAAAGUAUGUAUUAUAAAGAGAAGUAGAAGAGUAUUCAACUAAUGCAGUAUAAGAAUUCUGAAUUUCUAACACACAAGCUUAAUAAAUCACCCAACAGCAACA